UAAGGAAUAUUGGUCAAUGGGCGAAAGCCUGAACCAGCCAUGCCGCGUGAGGGAUGAAGGUCCUCUGGAUUGUAAACCUCUUUUAUCUGUGAAUAAACGUUCCGUUUCUACGGAAUUUGAAGGUAAUAGAUGAAUAAGCACCGGCUAACUCCGUGCCAGCAGCCGCGGUAAUACGGAGGGUGCAAGCGUUAUCCGGAUUUACUGGGUUUAAAGGGUGCGUAGGUGGGUUGGGUAGUCAGUGGUGAAAUACUUUCGCUUAACGAAGGAACUGCCAUUGAUACUCUCAAUCUUGAAUACAGUGGAGGUGGGCGGAAUGCGUCAUGUAGUGGUGAAAUACUUAGAUAUGACGCAGAACACCUAUUGCGAAGGCAGCUCGCUACACUGUCAUUGACACUGAGGCACGAAAGCGUGGGGAUCAAACAG
Molecule: ribosomal RNA, 423 nt
Filed under: uncultured bacterium
Lineage: Bacteria
Description: bacterial SSU rRNA
Rfam family: Bacterial small subunit ribosomal RNA
Source: RNAcentral